This 365-nucleotide unclassified non-coding RNA is filed under the name uncultured Anaerolineae bacterium. Its description in RNAcentral is "contains 16S-23S intergenic spacer region". The record is from RNAcentral. Lineage: Bacteria; Bacillati; Chloroflexota; Anaerolineae.
UCCGGCUUGUGGCCGGCAGUCCCGCCAGACACUUGUAACUGGCAGUAAGGGUUGCGCUCGUUAGCGUACUUAAACGAACAUCUCACGACACGAGCUGACGACAGCCAUGCAACACCUGUAUAAGCUCCCUUGCGGGUCGUUCCCCUUUCGGUUCACUACUACUUAUAUGUCAAACCUGGGUGAGGUUCUUCGUGUAGCAUCGAAUUAAACCACACGCUCCGCUGCUUGUGCGGGUCCCCGUCAAUUCCUUUGAGUUUUAAUCUUGCGAUCGUACUUCCCAGGCGGGAUGCUUAACGCGUUAGCUUCGGCACAGGCGGGGUUAAGUCCGCCAACACCUAGCAUCCAUCGUUUACGGCUAGGACUAC